AUUGAACGCUGGCGGCAGGCCUAACACAUGCAAGUCGAGCGGUAACAGGAAGCAGCUUGCUGCUUUGCUGACGAGUGGCGGACGGGUGAGUAAUGUCUGGGAAACUGCCCGAUGGAGGGGGAUAACUACUGGAAACGGUAGCUAAUACCGCAUAACGUCGCAAGACCAAAGAGGGGGACCUUAGGGCCUCUUGCCAUCGGAUGUGCCCAGAUGGGAUUAGCUAGUAGGUGGGGUAACGGCUCACCUAGGCGACGAUCCCUAGCUGGUCUGAGAGGAUGACCAGCCACACUGGAACUGAGACACGGUCCAGACUCCUACGGGAGGCAGCAGUGGGGAAUAUUGCACAAUGGGCGCAAGCCUGAUGCAGCCAUGCCGCGUGUAUGAAGAAGGCCUACGGGUUGUAAAGUACUUUCAGCGGGGAGGAAGGGAGUAAAGUUAAUACCUUUGCUCAUUGACGUUACCCGCAGAAGAAGCACCGGCUAACUCCGUG
Molecule: ribosomal RNA, 490 nt
Filed under: uncultured bacterium
Lineage: Bacteria
Description: partial 16S ribosomal RNA
Rfam family: Bacterial small subunit ribosomal RNA
Source: RNAcentral